UAUAAACUUCAGCAAAUAAGCUCUAGGGAUUAAUAAAACUGCAUCUGUCCAACUUAACAGGCACACAUUAGUUAUAAAGUGGCCUCCAUCAUAACCCUUAACAGUCCAACAUCAGUUCAAGCAUCACAGCAUAGUUCAGAGUUUAAAUAGUCCGGUACAGCCAACAGACUUAAAGGAUUACACAUAGAAACAACAGCUCAAAAGACAACCAUCAAAGCAUGACAUUGAAACAGCAGCUCCAAGCUUGCCUACAUCCAAAAGCUUCUUGAUAUCCUUGGUUAUUCUUCAAAUGCCAUUUCUGGUUUAGAGAAAACAAAGGAAGGGUCAGGAUGGAGGUAGUUCUGCAUCGGAAUUAUCUUCUGCCACUUUGUGCAUAAAAAAUAAAAUGGACUAACAGGACAAGAAGUGGCUAGUAGAACAAUAGUCAAAUGUUAUGCAUGCUCAUGAAUCAAAUAACAAAUCUACUACAACAAUAUAGUUUUUUAUUCACCAAAAAGCUUCAGGAGCAAAGGUUAAAUUCCUCCAUAUACUAGAAUAAUUCUAGUUCAUAGUUUGUACUCCAGCACAACAAAACUCUUAAGGAUACAAAGAAAGCGACAUAGACACAAACAGCCCAUUGUUGGCUUGGACUAGCCAUUUGUCAAUUGUCAUACAGAAGGAAAAUCCACGGUGAAAAAUGUGAAACAAAAAUCAUGCAUAAGCUCAAACAUAUUACAAGAUAAAUACAGUGGUUAAUAUACCUAUAAAAUAGCAGCUCCAAGCUUGCAUACAUCCAAAAGCUUCUUGAUAUCCUUAGUUCUUCAUGUGGCAUUUCUGGUUUAGAGAAAACAAAGAAAGGAUCAGGAUGGAUGUAGUUCAACACCAGAAUUUUCUUCUUCCACUUUGUGCAUAAUGAAAUAAAAUGGACUAACAGGGAAGUGUCUAGUGCAACAAUAGUCAAGUGGUAACAAUUCAGGAUAAUAUGAAUACAUUGCUUAACAUGAUAACGAGGCUAGGCAUGGAUAGAAAGCUAACACAUCUAAGUAACUAGCAGCUCCAAGUAACUCAAAUUUUAUAAGCAAUUAUCAUGAAUAAUAAAACACUAAAAAGAAGAGACUUAUCAGCAGAUUCUAAGCAACAGGGUAUGGGCUGUUGACGUCCUUGCUCCUUGGUCUUCUUCUUGACAAGCCGUACAGAUCUACGGGUCUCCAAAUUGCCAUCUCUUGGUGGUGCGUCCUUUUCCACUUGAAUUUGUGUCUCUUUUUCUUUAGGUUGCACCCCCACCUUUGUGCUUUAGGCUACAGUACACACAAUCAAAACCACCAUAAUACGGCCAUGCAUGGUUCCAAGGAUCAUAUAAGUUAUUGUCUUUAAUUUCUGCAUUGCAAAGUUACAAACAACAUCACUUUAAAUGAACCUAGCAAAUCAAGAUCAUAUGGUUCCAUUUGCAUCGUGUGAACAAGCAUAGCAUAGUAAUACCUUUGCAAGAUCUUUGGGAACCACUUGCAUUUGCAUCGUGAUUGCCACUGCCACUCCUAUUUGCAGUUCCAGGAC
RNAcentral lists this long non-coding RNA (1533 nucleotides) under Triticum aestivum (bread wheat). Its description in RNAcentral is "long non-coding RNA (TAES_LNC025008)". Lineage: Eukaryota; Viridiplantae; Streptophyta; Magnoliopsida; Poales; Poaceae. The record is from RNAcentral.